RNAcentral lists this ribosomal RNA (304 nucleotides) under Palaemon varians (Atlantic ditch shrimp). RNAcentral describes it as "partial 16S ribosomal RNA". The record is from RNAcentral. Lineage: Eukaryota; Metazoa; Arthropoda; Malacostraca; Decapoda; Palaemonidae.
CUCUUAAUUGGAGGCUUGUAUGAACGGUUGGAUGAGAGAUAAGCUGUCUUUUUUAUAAUUUAAAAUUUGACUUUUAAGUGAAAAGGCUUAAAUUAAAUAGGGGGACGAUAAGACCCUAUAAAACUUUAUACACGACUCAGUUCAUCUUUAAAUUUUAACUAAAUUAAAGUGAAAUGGGGCGUGUAUUUCGUUGGGGAGACGUUGAUGUAAACUGUAACUGUCUAAUUGAAAAAUAUAAAAAUAAUUAUUAUAUGAUCCUUCUUUGUGGAUAAAAAGAUUAAGUUACUUUAGGGAUAACAGCGUA